Molecule: long non-coding RNA, 826 nt
Organism: Mytilus californianus (California mussel)
Lineage: Eukaryota; Metazoa; Mollusca; Bivalvia; Mytilida; Mytilidae
Exons: 3
Source: RefSeq, a predicted model, not a curated record
GAACCAGUAAGGGGAAACAACUCCUUACUAUAAUGCAACCGCCAUGUUUAUGCGGGGAAGACCGAGUUUUGUGUUUACAAAAAGGUUGAUUUAGCGGAUCGUAUAUAUCAGAAUGACACAUGCUGAUCUGAUUGCAGAGGUAUGUGGAAUGGAAAGAAAGAGAUACAUGUACAUACAGAGACUGUUUGAAUUUAAGGUGUAAAAAUGAGCUACAUGUACCAGAAAAGAUAUUGAAAAUUUAAAAACUGUUUUAACAAGAGCAUCAUAAAAUAUAAAAAAAAAAAGAACAAUACCAGGUCUGGACCUUUGUGACUGCAUGCAAUUAAUUCUAAAAUACCAGGAAACAAGAUGUAGCUGCACAGCAGACAUGGCAGAUCUUAAAAUUGCUAAUUGGCAUCAACUCAACAUUUUCAAGCUGCAUUUAAAAGGAAAAGCAUUCCUUUUCAUAGAAUCCAAGAUUUUUUUAACCAAGUCAAGUGGUUAUUAGACCUGUUAUCAUGAAAAUACUAACAUAUAUAUUAGUAUUAACAGUCACAUGUAAUAUCCCAAAUAUAAGAACUAUUUGGUAUGUGUGACUAUCUUUCUUCCCAUGUCAUGUUACAUGUAUGCUCAGAAUAUUUUAAUGUCUCAAGGAUAUGAAAUGGAUAAAUGAUAUAUUGUCAACCAUUUAGAUAAAACAGACAGGCUCACAUAUAAAUUAACUGUCUAUGUGAAAGUUCAAGUUGACUAAAAUUGUCUAGAAUUAAAAAAAACAUAUAUCCAAAAGUACAGAAUUGCCUUUCUCAGAAAUUUUGUAUGUUUAAUAGAAUGAUACUUGUAGCUUCUA